Molecule: long non-coding RNA, 616 nt
Organism: Papaver somniferum (opium poppy)
Lineage: Eukaryota; Viridiplantae; Streptophyta; Magnoliopsida; Ranunculales; Papaveraceae
Exons: 5
Source: RefSeq, a predicted model, not a curated record
CGCAACAGAGGUUUAAGUAGUCUUGUUCAUUUCUUAAACCUCCUGAGAAUACUCAUACCAGCAGAUUAAAAUGGUUGGGAGGUUUUCACUAAAGAGUAAAUGAGUCACUCUCAGAGAACACAGAAGAAGAAGAAGCAAUAACUAAACCUAAAGAAGAAAAAUAUCAAAGUGACGAGUUGUUGAAUCUGAUAUUGAACUUGAAGGAGAUGUUGUUGAACCUGAACCCAGAAGAUGGAAGAUUCCACUGCGGAGGUUACUGAUGAAAACCUGGAAGAUUCACAAAGUGCUAAGGGACAGGCAACGUAAAUAAUUUUGGAAGGAAAGAUAAAGGAAGCAAUUGAGCAUCUUAGAGAGGUGUAUUUCGAUUACAUGGGAAGCUUCCACGUUGAUGAGACUUUUCAACAAGGAGUAAUUUCUGAAAUUGAAGUUAGAUGGGGACCAUAUGGGGAGCUGCACUGUCCGUCCUAUCCUGUAAAACAUGGAUGGAGAUACCCAUGCAUGGGGGAAUUCUAGGUAAUCAAUACGGUUAAAUAUUACGCUAAGUGUCGAUUACUCACUAUUUCAUAUUAGCAGUAGGAUAAUGGGGAUCAAUAUUUGUAUAAAAUAUUUGAUGUUA